ACUCCUACGGGAGGCAGCAGUGGGGAAUAUUGCACAAUGGGGGAAACCCUGAUGCAGCCAUGCCGCGUGUGUGAAGAAGGCCUUCGGGUUGUAAAGCACUUUCAGUAGGGAGGAAGGUAGUGUAGUUAACACCUGCAUUAUUUGACGUUACCUACAGAAGAAGCACCGGCUAACUCCGUGCCAGCAGCCGCGGUAAUACGGAGGGUGCGAGCGUUAAUCGGAAUUACUGGGCGUAAAGCGCAUGCAGGCGGCCUGUUAAGUCAGAUGUGAAAGCCCGGGGUCUUAACCUCGGAAUUGCAUUUGAAACUGGCAGGCUAGAGUCUUGUAGAGGGGUUAGAAUUUCAGGUGUAGCGGUGAAAUGCGUAGAGAUCUGAAGGAAUACCAGUGGCGAAGGCGGCCCCCUGGACAAAGACUGACGCUCAGAUGCGAAAGCGUGGGAGCAAACAGGAUUAGAUACCCCUGGUAGCGACUGA
RNAcentral lists this ribosomal RNA (473 nucleotides) under uncultured bacterium. RNAcentral's name for it is "bacterial SSU rRNA". It matches the Rfam family "Bacterial small subunit ribosomal RNA", at positions 335 to 803 of the family's 1533-position model. The record is from RNAcentral.